Molecule: ribosomal RNA, 253 nt
Filed under: uncultured bacterium
Lineage: Bacteria
Description: partial 16S ribosomal RNA
Rfam family: Bacterial small subunit ribosomal RNA
Source: RNAcentral
UACGUAGGGGGCUGGCGUUGUCCGGAUUUAUUGGGCGUAAAGAGCGUGUAGGCGGCCAGGUAGGUCCGGUGUGAAAACUCGAGGCUUAACCUCGAGAUGUCAUCGGAAACCAUCUGGCUAGAGUCCGGAAGAGGAAAGUGGAAUUCCUGGUGUAGCGGUGAAAUGCGCAGAUAUCAGGAAGAACACCAAUGGCGAAAGCAGCUUUCUGGGACGGUACUGACGCUGAGACGCGAAAGCGUGGGGAGCGAACAGG